AUAUAUAUAUGGUAGGGGAGAUACUAUCAUCAAGGUGGUUUUCCCAGGGCAAGGAUCAUCCAUUGCUUUUUUGACAUGCUGACUUCUGCAAUUUCUCUUCCAAUGUGAGAAACUCUACUGUAUAAGUUGGAGAGAAUUUUUUUCAAGCUCUUU
This 153-nucleotide small nuclear RNA is filed under the name Meriones unguiculatus (Mongolian gerbil). RNAcentral's name for it is "U1 spliceosomal RNA (ENSMUGG00000023738.1)". It matches the Rfam family "U1 spliceosomal RNA". From Rfam's summary of the family: U1 is a small nuclear RNA (snRNA) component of the spliceosome (involved in pre-mRNA splicing). Its 5' end forms complementary base pairs with the 5' splice junction, thus defining the 5' donor site of an intron. There are significant differences in sequence and secondary structure between metazoan and yeast U1 snRNAs, the latter being much longer (568 nucleotides as compared to 164 nucleotides in human). Lineage: Eukaryota; Metazoa; Chordata; Mammalia; Rodentia; Muridae. The record is from RNAcentral.